AUGAUCCUGGCUCAGGAUGAACGCUAGCGGCAGGCUUAAUACAUGCAAGUCGUGGGGCAGCAGGGGUAGCAAUACCCGCUGGCGACCGGCAAACGGGUGCGGAACACGUACGCAACCUUCCUUUAACUGGAGAAUAGCCCCUCGAAAGAGGGAUUAAUACUCCGUAACAUAUUGAUAAGGCAUCUUAUUAAUAUUAUAGCUCCGGCGGUUAAAGAUGGGCGUGCGCCUGAUUAGAUAGUUGGUGGGGUAACG
Molecule: ribosomal RNA, 252 nt
Filed under: uncultured bacterium
Lineage: Bacteria
Description: partial 16S ribosomal RNA
Rfam family: Bacterial small subunit ribosomal RNA
Source: RNAcentral